Molecule: long non-coding RNA, 347 nt
Filed under: Homo sapiens (human)
Lineage: Eukaryota; Metazoa; Chordata; Mammalia; Primates; Hominidae
Description: LHRI_LNC1363.1
Source: RNAcentral
CAUCCUUACUCUCCACUUCCGUUCUUGCCCUUUGCUGCCUUACAGCAUAGUGAGCCUCCUGUUCUGCUAGUUUCUUCUCCAUUUGCUUCUUUCUCUUUUCCUGCUCCACUUUAUCUUCCAGCUUUCUGAUUUUCUCUUCAUACUCCUCUCUUAUCCGCGCUUUCUCUCUCUCCAGCUCCACUCUGUGGAGUUCUUGCAUUGCUUGUGUUUGCUUCUGGAUCUCCUCCUCCGCCCUUUGGUACAUCCUAUUAGUGUAGCAGCCUUCCUUGUUCUCCCUCACCACGCGCUGGAUCAGGCCCAGCAACUGUGCCCUCUGGGCCUCCUGCUCAGCGCCUGUUGCCUUGUUG